Molecule: long non-coding RNA, 1713 nt
Organism: Liolophura sinensis
Lineage: Eukaryota; Metazoa; Mollusca; Polyplacophora; Chitonida; Chitonidae
Exons: 3
Source: RefSeq, a predicted model, not a curated record
CGGAAUUUCUUCGCUCGGCAAGGCCAGCUGGCUGCAGUGUUAACGCUAGCCUUUACUCUGGCUGCCGGUACCUCAUUUAACGGAAUCCAUCAUCUCUCAAGUCACACACAUCGGCACACCACGCUCACUGCCACUAAGGUUCUAACAGCCACAUUGUGAUAAAAAGUCACCGCCAUCUUCACCAUGAGGUUCUGGGUCAUUUUACUACUUGCAUUCCUCGCCACCGUCGCCAUGGUAACGGCACAAGAUGACAAGCAACCAACUCCAGAGUCCGAGAAAUCACCAGAUAUAUCCCCAGAAUCAGAUGACAAAGAAGUGGAGAAAUCCUCCCCAGAGCCCGAACCGGAGACAACUCCGAAAUCAGGCGCCGUAACCAUCUUGUCAGGGGUCCCUGUGAUACUCUUCCCAAUUGUCACCAUAUUUUUGUCCUUCCAUUAAAUAUUCACUGAGCUUCCAAACUAAAACAGAAAGUAAAACCCCACCAAAACCUACAGUCACUAAAAUCAUAGAUCAUGCAGUCAAGCUCUUUAUCUCAGAGGUGGUAUGUAUGUCUACUUUCAACCGGAAAAAUCCAAUCUCUUCCAGUGCCAGUUUACAACACAUUUUGUGGAGACCAAUAUGAUAUAGGCGUAUUUACAAAACGGAAUAUUCGUUGUGAUGUUUAUAUCGCAAGUCACGUUAAUGACUUCAACGGAAACUUGGAGACCAAUUCUAUAACGUGCGUGUGGCAAUAUGUGUGUGUUCAGUUAGGUGAUGAGUGUAAAACUGGCUUUUUUUCUUCCGCGAUAGUAGAGUUAAUUUGCGAGCAUUUAAAAUAUCGAUGUUGUCAGCCCAUUAUAUUGUCCUUCAAAGCUCCAGCUUACUCUCGCUUAAAGGUUGUACAAGUUACCUAGCUCCCUUCUUCGACUUGCGUAUACGGGAUAUGCCAACUUAAUAUAACCCACCGCGCAUUAUGGGGACAAAAAGAGAAGAAAAGAUCGAAGACAAAUGACUUCUUCUUGAACGAUUGUCCGAUAUUUUCGAACUCUUUUAAAUGUGUCUAUUUUGUAGGCAUCAGGAUGUCUUUUAGGCUUGUGUACAUGUAUAUCUCGACUGUACUUGUUUGUAACGUUUUAUAUAUGCGUCUAUAUUUUGUACAACCAUAUAAACUUUACUGCAAUAUUGAAUGCUUAUCAUACAGGAUUUAUUUGCGAUAAAUGGGUGUUCCAUAGGUUUGCUAUGCAAAUUUACUGGUGCUUUUCUAUCCCUGUUCGCUCGUGAUUGUCUGCACUCCUCAAUGUCUGCAGUCAUAAUUGUCUGCUGCUCUAAUUCGUCUGUGGCGCUCUAUGUUUGAAGCCCUCAUUUGUAUGCAGACAUCAAUGUCAGCUCCCUCAUUUGACCACAGCCCUAAUUGUCUGCAGCCCUUAAUGUCCGAAGCCUUCAUUGUCUGCGGCCCUUAUUUGUCUGCGGCCCUCAAUAUCUACAUCCCUGAUUUGUCUGCAGCCCUCAUUUUUCUGCAGCCCUCAAUGUCUACGCCCGUUAAUGUCUUCCACAAGUGUUCAGGUAAGAUUUCCUCGUGGAAUCUGACCGUUACCUCUUUAACUGGGGCAUUUUUACCAAGUUCUGACAGUAUUUCUGGCUGCUAAGAAAACAUUUAAACGUAUUUUUUUGUUCGCCCGCUCACUUAAUGCUCACAUUUAAAUAAAGUUGUCAAUUUGUCACUGUGCUCUUUCU